RNAcentral lists this ribosomal RNA (393 nucleotides) under uncultured bacterium. Its description in RNAcentral is "partial 16S ribosomal RNA". It matches the Rfam family "Bacterial small subunit ribosomal RNA", at positions 523 to 918 of the family's 1533-position model. The record is from RNAcentral.
AUACGGAGGACGCGAGCGUUAUCCGGAUUUAUUGGGUUUAAAGGGAGCGUAGGCGGGAGAUCAAGUCAGCUGUGAAAUGUAGAUGCUCAACAUCUGCACUGCAGUUGAAACUGGUUUUCUUGAGUGCGUAAGGGGCAGGCGGAAUUCGUCGUGUAGCGGUGAAAUGCUUAGAUAUGACGAAGAACUCCGGUCGCGAAGGCAGCCUGCCGGGCCGCGACUGACGCUGAAGCUCGAAGGUGCGGGUAUCGAACAGGAUUAGAUACCCUGGUAGUCCGCACAGUAAACGAUGGAUACUCGCUGUCGGCGAUAUACGGUCGGUGGCCAAGCGAAAGCGUUAAGUAUCCCACCUGGGGAGUACGCCGGCAACGGUGAAACUUAAAGGAAUUGACGGGG